AUACGGGAGGCAGCAGUGGGGAAUUUUGCGCAAUGGGCGAAAGCCUGACGCAGCAACGCCGCGUGCGGGAUGAAGGCUCUCGGGUCGUAAACCGCUUUCAGCAGGGACGAAACAAGACUGUACCUGCAGAAGAAGCCCCGGCUAAAUACGUGCCAGCAGCCGCGGUAAUACGUAUGGGGCAAGCGUUAUCCGGAUUCAUUGGGCGUAAAGAGCGCGUAGGCGGCUUGGUAAGUCAGAUGUGAAAACCGGGGGCUCAACCCGCGGCCUGCAUCUGAAACUGCCAGGCUUGAGUCUGGUAGAGGAAAGUGGAAUUCCCAGUGUAGCGGUGAAAUGCGCAGAUAUUGGGAGGAACACCAGUGGCGAAGGCGGCUUUCUGGGCCACGACUGACGCUGAGGCGCGAAAGCUAGGGGAGCAAACAGGAUUAGAUACCCGUGUAGUCCG
RNAcentral lists this ribosomal RNA (442 nucleotides) under uncultured bacterium. RNAcentral's name for it is "bacterial SSU rRNA". It matches the Rfam family "Bacterial small subunit ribosomal RNA", at positions 339 to 797 of the family's 1533-position model. The record is from RNAcentral.